CAUGCUUUUAUAGUUUAUAAAACAUGACCAUUUGUAUCAGGCUCUAUUUCAAUGUUUAAAACUUAAAAGAUUUUUUAAAAGAAUCAAAUAACUAAAACAAAUUUUAAAAUAACAUUUUUAUUAAGUACCUCUGAGAAUAAAUAGGUAGAAUUCAUACAAAGUCCAGCGAUUCAACAAAUUAGUCUUCCGAGGUAGCAAAAAAAGUUUAACUGUAUCUACAAAAAAGAAUUAGUAAGGUGAAAGUUAACUUAUCAAAAUCAGUUGUCAAAACAAACUACUCAAUAGUUACUUUAAUUGCCUAUAGUGGAGAAAACCUUCAAAGAUUUAGACUUAUAUAUAUGACCCAAACAGCUUAUUCAGGUGAUAUUUUAAACCUUAAGAAUUAGAUGUAAGUGUAAGUAAAACUUAAGAUUUCAUUUUUAUUUACUAACAUUGCUCCUCUACAGGGACAAUUUCUCACUUUCUCUGAAGGCACUGACACAGAUUUUGGUGAUUAUUGCUGUAUGCUGGGCCAUAUGUUACACGGCAGAGUACAGCAUGUGGCAGGCUAAUUUGUAGCAAUGCAAUUUUAGAUUUUUGACAAUAUACACAAUAUAUGAAAACUAUCAAGUAACUGAAUUUUACCCUGAUGAAUUAUCUAUAUAUGUCACUUCAAAACCCACCCCCUAAAAACAGACUGCAUAUAAUAUUAUUAAAAAGUAGUACAACUUAUGACUGUUAAAAUGUUAUUCUCAAUUUAUCAUGCAAGACCAUAUUCAGAUUCUGUUGCACAGUCUUAAAAUUGCCAAUUACUGAAAAAAACCAUCACAAUGGUAAUUUUCCAACCAUGAGAAAAGAACAAUAUGAAAAUACUCUACUGAAAAUUGAUGAAAUUGAAGAGAAAGGCCAUUAUGAAAGUAAAACUUCCAAAUAAAAUGCUUUCUUUCUUUAAUCAGUAAUCUUCUUGAAUGUAUCAUAUACAGUUAGAAUCAUUGCUUAGGCAUCUACCAGGGCAUUAGCGAUAUCUGUGAAUUCUCUUUUAGGUGUAAAUUGUUGUUAAAGUGAGGAAAAGAGAUCAAAUGUUUGUUUCACUCCAAUAUGAUAAAAAUUCAAUAUUCAGUUUUAGAACUGACGAUCACAGAGUUAGUAUUAGCUAAUCAUACCAUCACAUGCGCAGAGCUCUACUGUUCUAUAGUAGUCCACCCUUGUCAAACUCUUUAAAAAUUCCCUGUUGGCAUUGUGGCAUGAUUGAUAAUGCCAGGAGGGAGUUUUUAAAGAGUUUGACAAGUAAUUUAUAAUUUGAGGUAAGUUUUAGUUAAUUUAUACCCAUAUAUACACUAAAAUAAAUUUGCAACUCUCCAUUUAUUUAACAAAGAUUUAUUAAGCUCCUUUUAUGUGUUAGUCAUUUCUCUAUUCCCAGACAUUCAAUUCAACCAGAUAAAUGUGGAGCAGGGAAGACAGAAUUAAACAAAUAAUUAUAAACUUCCAGUCAGCCAUGACAGAUUGAACACAAUAGUGUAUCUCUGCUCCCUCUUGAAAGGCCACUAAAAUGACAGUAAAAAAUACACAAACUCACCAAGAUAAAGAAAAUAGGAGAGAACAUACAACAGAUAGAAAAAGUCAACAAAAUUGAGAAAAAUGGAAAAUAGAUGGCUAAUUGGCCAUUAGCUUAGGUUUCAGCCUUCUCCCCUCUGUUGAGUGCUUAGGUAGGGAGGAGAGGCAGAUGCUGGGGGAAGUGAAAGGGAGUGAUGAGAAGAUAAACCAAUUGGUACCUCAGAAUUCCACAAAAAGCCUGGGUAAGGCACUAGCUAUCUCUGAUAUCAGACAUGUAAGGUGAAACUGAAGGAAAUUAGAUUUAUUUAAAAUCUGUAUAAAAAAUAAUUAGACUUCUCUACUCUACUCUAGCCAAGUGGUUUAAUUUCUGGAGAUGGUGAACCCAAGAGGCUCUGCUGGGAGACAACAAAAAUAAUGAAGGUAAUGGAUGAAAUCCUGUAUGCUCAAUGUAAAAAUACUUAGCUCCUUUCACUUUAGCUGCCAGAACACUUGUGGUUUUAUAUUCCAUCAGAUGGGAAGCUUCUCUUCUCUGAAGAAUCUGGAAAGUAUAUGAGAAAGGUGAGGUUGCCAAAGAAAUGGUUUGUCUCAUCCAGUCCCUCACAGUGAGUCCCAACAGUUGGAAAAUUCCACCAGUGAAUGCAAAAAUUUCAAUUUGUCUUGUAGUGUCUCACUUUUAAAUAUGAAUGAAUGGCCAAAAAUCACCAGAUACAAGUAGAGGGAAUUUCACUUCAAAGACAAGGCCAAAGCAAGGAAAUAAGCAAAUGAAAAUGAACCAUGCAGGGACUUGAAGAAAAUUUGAAGCAACUAUAAAAAAUCUCUUCAGAGACACAGCAUUUACAAAACAAGAAUAGAAUGCUUUUUUUUUUUUUUUUUUUUUUUGAGAUGGAGUCAGGGGUGCAAUCUCAGCUCACUGCAACCUCUACCUUCCAGGUUCAAGUGAUUCUCCUGCCUUGGCCUCCCGAGUAGUUGGGAUUGCAGUCACCCGCCACCAAGCCUGGCUAAUUUUUCUAUUUUAAAAAUCAACUGGCUGUCAAUCAAGUCAAAGACUGGAAACUUUCUAAGGAAAAAGAAGCAUUUGCAAACUGAAAUGAAGCACAAAUCACUUCAAUAGCUUAGAUUUGUGCUUUGAAAGUGUCAAACUAAACUAAUCACUGUAGGAAUUGAUGGAGUAUUAGCUCUGGAUUUCAAGUUAUUAUAAUUUUUCAAUGUCUGUCUCACAUUUUUGGCUAUCUGUCAGAUAUAAUUUCCUUGGAAAUCCCAUCCUCAGCGUUGGUUCUCUGUUUAGAGCCUCAGGGGAACUGCUAUAAAAAUGAAUUAGUCCCAUGAAAACAGACUAUUUAUGGGUGUUUUCUGCAUGGUAUUUGGACUAUAGAAUAGACAUUCUGUAACCUUGACUUGACAGGAGUACAAAGUGGUAGAUGCACAGUGUUGGAGAAGGCAGUGAAUAUAAACCUACAGAGAUGAUUCCGCAUUGUUCCACCCAUCCCAACCCCAACUCAAACAUUGAGAGGGAAACAUGGCUACUAUUUUCAGAUUACAAGAAAAAUAAAUUUACUGCCUGCUCGUUUGGAGAUCUAUAACCUUUAUACUUAGACAGUUUUUUAAAAAGUAUAACAGCAAUUAUUUCUCCCAAUUUAUUUAAUGCCGUUUUUUCAUUGCAUCCAUUAAAAUAUUUUACUUUUAUAAGCAAUGAUACCAGGAAGUUAUCGUUUGAAUAGUCUGCUGGAGGAGUAGGGCAAAGUAGUUAAGAUCAAUUGUUCUUUCAGAAGGCUGCUGCUUUCUAGCUGCAUGACUUUGGGUACGUUAUUUAACCACUAAACUUCAGUUCUCCUGUAAAUUGGAAAAAAAAAAAAAAGACAAUGCUGAAUUCAAAUAACUGAGGAUAAAUGAGGUAAAGCAUAUUGAGACUUAUUAUAGUUCAUUAUUAUUGCUUUAUACAAAUAUGAAUUCUACAAUGUGUACCUUCUGGUAAAAGUUGUGAUGCCCUAUUUUAUUUUUUAAAGGUUUUCUUAAAUUUAUGUAAACUUCCAAUAUCAUAAGUUGACAACAUGCCAGUUGGCCCUCAGAUCUGUUUAUUUAUUGAAUGACUGCUCUCUGGUUUAUAAAACAGAUAUGUUGGAGGUUACAGUCUAGUAGAGACAGAUAAUAAACAAAUAUAUAUACAUGAAAUGUGAAGAAAAUAACCAUGGUACAGUGUAUUUCUUUAAAGGGUAAUUACCCAUCAUAAAUGGUCCAAGAAAGAUUCCCUAGAGAAUUAGCAUUUAAGUUAAGAGCUGAACGAUGGUGGUGUCAGCCAUGUGACUCAUGGAAUAAGAGGGUUUUAUGCAGCAUGGUUAGGUAUUGGUCAGAAGUCAGACAGGAAAUGGUUAAGCAGGAAUGCUCCUGAGUUAUUGCUUCUACAGAAAGGAUGUCUAAUGGUGUUAUACUGGAAGUAACACAGUACUGAACACUUUAAAAAAAAAUGAGUUGUAUUGCAGCUUCCAGCCAGAAAGUUACUUUUCUUGCCAAAAAGGACAAUUAUAAACUGUAACCCUCUCUAGAGAUGAGUGGAGAAGGCUGGGGUUGGAGGUGACUCAGUUAAAAGGACCUGCAGGGUGAUCGGAGCUAGUCACCUGCAUUUUACAGAACAUUUCAAAGGCAAGCAAAGCUUCAGGUUCAAUCUGUUAAAGGUCAAACUUUUAGUGUACAGAGCUGGAGAAUGAGCUGAAACAACGAAACAUCAAGCAGGGCAGCCUGCAAGAGCAAAAAUACUAUGAAAUGCACAGAAAAGGAACUGAAGAACUUGGACAAUUGAGAAGAAAAAAUGUUUGACAUACCCAGAGCACAGAAUGUACUCUUGUCUGCAAUAAUUAUCACCCAUUUGUAAGAAGGAACUGGAAGCUAAUGUCAUUAAUUCAACAAAUAUUUAUUGUAUUACAUCCCCGUACAAAGUAAACAAGGAAACAAAGAUAUUUACCCUCAAGGAACUUACAUUGGGGUUGGGAGGGGGUGGGAGAGUACAGGGAAAACAGAUUUGCAUUGUGUUAAACAUAAUAAAUAAGUAAAUGACACAGUGUGUUAGAAAAUACUUAGUGCUCUGGAAAAAAAGAAAAGUUGAGUAAGAAGGGGAAGACAAGGCUGGGAGAAGGUAGAAGAGACAGUUUGCAAUAUUAAAUGGUUGUUCAAGCCAGGCCUGCCUCAUUGAAAGGGUGAAAUCUUCCUUCACUGGAAGGAAGUGAGAGAAUUAGUCAAGCAGCUAUCUGAGGAAAGAACAUUCCAAGUAAAGAAUAUACAGCCCAUACAUUGUUGGAUGUGUGUACAUUGAAAUUUUUGUGCAGUAAAAUGAAUAUUUCAUUUACCUAUAUAAUUUUACAUAAAAUAAAAUAUAUUUUGAAUGUGAGUUUGUUCCAAACAAAUCAUUUUCUUGCCUUCAAAACCACUGAGCUUAAAGAACUCUUUCAAGUGUCAUUAGAGAUAGAUUCCAACUACAAUCAACAUUGUGGAAUCCAGAGGAGGCAAAAUGAAGGAAGCAGCACUCAUUACAAAAUGCUGCUUUGUAAAGAAUUAAUUCUGUCCUGGUAUGUUUCACAUUAGGUAAUAUGAAGGAAAUGAAUAUGUCAUGAACCCUCCUUGAGGAUGUGGGGGAAUUAAAAGUAAUUUCGCUUAAUAUCCAACUCUCACUUUUGGCUUUGUAGUCAGAGGGAAACAAUGCUUUCCCAGGUUCUAAGGUAAACGUUAAAAGGUUACAAGGAGACUUGGAAGAGUCAAGGAACGCUUCCACCAACUAUUCCUGCCAUUCCAGUUGGGAGGGUUGUCUGAGGGGAAGUGAAAAAUAGUUUAUUACUUACUAUAUUUUUGGUACAAGAUCUGUUAUAUUUUUCUAGAUUAAAAACAAUUCAGUGAACACUGAUCCUUUAAAAAAAAGAACUCGAGGUUUAUAAAAUGCCUCUAAGGUGGGGGAGUGGGUUAGUGGUAAGAAAAGCAAAACUGUGAUGCAAUUGUUGAAAAAGCCAAUUAUUAAGGCAUCAUUCAUGGAACUAUAAUACCUGAUCCUAAAAGUAAUAUAUCCAUUAUACUUUGCCUCAGUUCUAUAUGUCUAACUCAUCAAGUUAAUUUCUGAGAGCUGCAUUUCUUAAAAGAGAUGUUAAAGGUCAGGAGAUCGAGACUAUCCUGGCUAACACAGUGAAACCCCGUCUCUACUAAAAAUACGAAAAAAAAAAAAAUAGCCAGGUGUGGUGGCACACGCCUGUAGUCCCAGCUACUCGGGAGGCUGAGGUAGGAGAAUCACUUGAACCUGGGAGGCAGAGGUUGCAGUGAGCUGUGAUCGCGCCACUGCACUCCGUCCUGGGUGACAGAGCAAGACGCCGUCUCAAAAAAAAAAAAAAAAAAAUUUUGAGUGCAAUAUUUUAGAAAAUCAAAAUGAGUACCCUAAAGAACCAUGAUGAACAUGGAAUCAAAAUGUAAAUAAGAAAUAAAAUCAGUAUGACUGAUUUUUUUUCUUUUACUCCUGUUGCUAAUAUAGCUCAGCACAGCACUGUUACUGAUUAUUCCUUAUUUAAAAUGUUGAUAUUUUUCUCAUCAUGGACUUUUUACAUUAACUUUGUAAAUGAGAAUUAAAAUAAAGAAAUUUUUCUGGCUUCUGCAAAGGAGAUAGGUGCUCAGCGAGUGGCGUAGAUAAGUGAUGCAAAAUAUGAGUUGGUAUUAUCCACCCUUCCAAACUAAUCAAUUAUUCUACCAAAUGUCAGAAAUAUGUAUGUGAAUGUUAUCAUUUCAACAGUGCUGAACACAUCCCAGCCAUUAAUGCUAGGUAUCAGCUUCAUUUUCAUCUAUUUGCUUAGCAUUUGGUGCUUAAUGUAGUGUAGUCUACAGCAACUCUAGUCUGGAACACUACAGAACAAAUUGACAAUUUGAACCAAAACUGCUGCAAAGGAAAUAAUGAUCUAGUGCACCACUGUGGAAAGUCUCCAAAACAGUGGAGGGGAAAAUCUUUUCGAUAUAGCCUCUCUUUCAGAUAAUUUGAAUGCACUUUGACAGAACUUGAUAAUGAACGUGGGUGGUACACUCAGAGAUGCUCUGCCAGAAUUCCUUCAAGGAAGUACUUACUGCCCAGCCAUGGGGAGGACAGUCAGGAGGCAACCCAGCGAUCAGCAACUUCAGGGUCCACCUCAGCUGUAAGGAGCCACCUCUCCAGAGAUCUCACCCUUCUCAAGGCAGACUGCAGCUGCUGACUAAGCAAGGCAGUGUUUGAAAGGCCCCAUCACUCUAAAGCACAAUAUUCCCUUCAUUGCUCCUGCUGAAUUGGUCAAAGAUUUGUUGGCCUGCAUUCCAGUUCAACUUUUUUCUCUACCCAGUCCUGCUUCCUGUCCUUCCUUUCCCAUCUUACCCUCCAAAACUCAUCUAAAUAAGCAUCUGCUCCCAGAAAACCCAACCUGAGACAGGGAGUUAAACUUCCCAACGUUUUUCUUUUUACAGUAUUAUUUAGAAUAACAACAAAAAAGUAUGCAAAAAAGACUAAAUAUCCAACUGUAUUUGCAACAUAUAUUUUUGAGCUUUCUCAGUUUAGAUCUGAAUUAUAUAGUUAUAAUGAUUUUGGAUUCAGUUUUUUGGUUGACAUUAUUUAACAUACAAUUCCUCAGAGCAACUUUGUCGAGAUAUUUCUCUUCUGCAAUGCCCUUACAGUAUUCUAUAGUGGAUUUCUUAACUGUCUCCAAAUGUAUGGCCUUACAUUGUUUACUAUUUUUUCACUCCUUGAAAUAGUGUUAUAAUAUUUAUGUACAAAUUGCUUUCUUUCCCUUUUGAUUAAUUCCUUCAACAAUUGCCUUCCUAGAAUUGAACCAGAGUCCGGUGAAUAUCAGCACUGGGACCAGUUAGCAGAGGAAAAGGAAAGAAUAAAAGCGAAAAGAAUGAAGAGUCAUAUGAUUACCAACUUUUCCUUUUUCAUAUAAAUUGAGUGUAUAUGGGUCUGGAACAACCUGAAUUUCCAUCAAGUCCUGGCUAACCUCAUUAUGUCCUAUGAAUAUUUUUGACUAAUCCCACUUUACAUUAAUCUGUAUUGUGAAUGUGGAUAUUGAAUUAUAUUUCUUUGUAAUCCCAUUAUCCAAAAUCCAGUUCAGAGACUAUUAGUUACCAAUGUUCACUGUGAAGGAAAAAAAAAAAAAAAAAGCUCAGAGGAUAAACAUGUGAUAUGGUUUGGCUGUGUCCCCACCCAAAUAUCAUCUUGAAUUGUAGCUCCCAUAAUUCCCACGUGUUGUGGGAGGGACCCGGUGGGAGAUAAUUGUAUCAUGGGGGUGGUUCCCCCAUACUAUUCUCAUAGUAGUGAAUAAGUCUCACAAAAUCUGAUGGUUUUAUGAGGGAAAACCCCUUUCACCUGGUUCUCAUUCUCUUCUCUGGUCUGUCGUCAUGUAAGACAUGCCUUUCACCUUCUCCACCAUGACUGUGAGGCCUCCCCAGCCACGUGGAACUGUGAGCCCAUUAAACCUCUUUCACUUAUAAAUUACCCAGUCUCUGGUAUAUCUUUAUCAGCAGCAUGAAAACAGACUAGUACAACAUGUUUGGAAAUGAUGUUCAGAAUUAAAUUUUCUUCUUGAAGAAUAAUAAUGUACAGGAGUGUGUUGAAGAUUUUGAGAAUUCUCACAGCAAAGGAACUUGUUAAUUUUUUUAAUCCACCUACCUAAUAGAAUUAAUAUUUUAAGAGAAACAGCUUGUGAAACAAUUAUAUAUAUGGUCCCAUAAAAACUUUUAGAAAACAAUUAUUAUACACACAUAUAAACACAUAUUACUUACUAGUAAAGAUGUACCUAUCUUCCUAGGAAGCUCUUUCAUGGUAUUUCAUUAGUAUCCCUUCCAGCACCUACCAUCCAUCCAGGCAAAUUUUAGAUGUUUUACAAAGGUUUAUGAAAUUGCAUUAAACACCUGUUAAAAAUCACUUUGUUCAUUGCAAGACAUUUAUAUACUGUAGUUUUAAAGAAAGAUAACAGCUGAGGGGAGCUACAGGAAAAAGAAAAGCAUAGAACUUAUGUUGAAUUAUUUUUCUUGUGCAUAUGAAGUUGCUCUGUGAGAACAAGAGCACUCAGCAGACGUAUAGAUCCACUAUCUUUUCACAUGGCAAUAUGUUCAUCCUUUCAGACAAUUUGAGCAAGUUUGGAACAUAAAAUAAUACAAAGAGGCUAAAAUGCAAAGCAAAAAAAAAAAAAUGAAAAUGAUUGGCACAAAAUAAUGGAGCAAUUGUAAGAGAUGUUACAUGUGUAAACUUAAACCAGGACAUAAACCGUUGAAGUUCACCGUUUAAGGAAGCAUCCAAAUAUAUAAUAGUCCUGCUAAAUGCUUGGAGUAGCAAAUUUCUAUCACAUGCAUCCACAUGCACAUCUUACAUUAAAAUCCCGUGACAAUAGUGUUAACAUCUUGUCAUUUUAGCCUUGAAUGUCAAAGGCUCAUGGGAUCUACUCCAUGACUCACAUAACCUGUAUAUCUAGAAACAGGUGUUUUAAACUCUACAUCUGGUGAUAAAUAUUAAAGAUAGAAGAUGAGAGUUCUAAAACAGUCUACUUAUUUCAUUUCCACUUGGCUUUGCCACCAUUACCUAAACUAUUACAGAUUGAGCUCCACAGACUACUCAGAAUUCUCCUCCUGUCUUGAAAUUCCAAAUGCAAUUUUCCCAGGAUUUUUAGAAAUUUAUGAAAUUAUUAGCCAAAAAUAUUAUAUUUCAAGAUUAAGCCCUCAUCCUACAGUUUAGAAAACCAAGAGCCAGCUGAAAAUACUUGCUCAAAUUCAGAGAAUGAAUGUUGUCUAAAUUAGUUCAAAAACAAGUGACUCAUUGAAGAUAAAGUAGUGUGGUGAUUAAAAGCAUGUACUUUGAAAAAAAAAAAAGUGACUCUUGGCUUGUAAUACAAUUUUUUCACUGCAUUAUUCUAAGGAAAUUUGUUAGUAGAGCUGAAAUAAUACAGCAUUAGGGUUAAAAAGUACAAGUUUCAAAGUUACAAAGACCAAGGUAGCGAAAGGCAAAUUACUCAACCUCUCUAAACAUGGUUUAUUCAUUAGUAAAAGAAGAACAAGAAUAUUAUUUAUGACAUAGUAUUAAGAGUUUUAAACAAUGUAGAAUACUGAAAGUGCCAAAAAACUAUUGUCAUUAUUACAUAUGUAAGUAAAAUUUAUUUUCUGCAUAUCAUUGUAUUAGUCUGUUUUCAUACUGCUACAAGGAACUACCCAAGCAGGUAAUUUGUAAAGAAAAGAGGUUUAAUUGACACACAGUUCAGCAUGGCUCGGGGGGCGGGGGGGCCCUCAGGAAACUUACAAUCAUGAUGGAAGGCAAAGGGGGAGCAAGGCACCUUCUUCACGAGGCGGCAGGAAGGAGAAAUGCUGAGUGAAAGGGGAAGAGCCCCUUAUAAAACCAUCAGAUCUAGUGAGAACUCACUAUCAUGAGAACCGCAUGGAAGAAACUGCUUCUGUGAUUCAGUUAUCUCCACUUGGUCUCUCCCUUGACACACGACGAAUUACAAUUCAAGAUGACUUUUGGGUGGAGACACAAAGCCUAACCAUAUCAAUCACCAUACCUUUCAAAAACUACAAAUAGUUUUCAUUACAUUUGGAGGUCAGUCUCAUGUAAAUUAUAAUGAGGUAUCAUAUUCAAAAUCCACUUUGAUCUCUGCUUCUAAGAGGACGGAGUGGACAUAAUUUCCGUAUUCCUCCCAAUGGGCACAACUAAAAACUCUGGAAAUGAUAUAUAAAACAAAUGUAAGAAGACUCUAAAGCAUGGAAAGAAAAAGGCAGGCGAGCUUGGGAAAUUGGAAUUCAAUGAACUACACAGUGCUGAGUUCCCUGAGUUUUCAUCUUGCCUCACAUAUCAUCUCAGACUGGGCACUAAAGACAUCAACAACCCGAAAAUACUAAAACGCUAAUGGACACAAACACCAAAACACACACAUACACACACAAAUAAAAACCCAAGAGAAGCCUGCUUUCUCUUGCCAAUGGACCAGAAAAGAAGCAGCAUAGGAAGACAGAAAACAUUUAGACAAUAACCACUUUACUCUAGCCAAACACUAUGUAAAAUACUGCAUGCCUACCCCUAGAAGCAAAGGCAGAGGGGAGAGUCCAGUCUUUGGACUCUUGCCAGGCUGCCAGGAGGUGCUGCAAGCCCUACCUACCUCCAGAGUGGUGUCAGAGAAGGCAGAGUGGAAAGCUGAGACCAUCAUCCCUAUCAGGUGGUAAAGAGGAUCCCCUUCAGGGUGUCAGGGGAGUCCAUGGGAAGAGGGAUAGGGACUUGGAUUUCCACCCUACCCAGAGGCACCAAGGCACCCACACUCCUCUCACUGAGGUGCUGUCAGAGGAGGUCUAAUGGAGAGUCGGUACUUUAAUGUGGCUCAGUGGUAACAAGCUCGACCCCAAAAGUGCUAGUAGAGGCCAUGUGGGAAGCUGUAAGAAGACAUCCCUCCCCUCCCAGCCAGGGUGGUAUCAACAGAUACCUAAUGGGGAACUGAGUUUUGACCAAAGUGCAAAAGCAAUUCAAUGGAGGAACAAACUUUUCAAUAAAUGGUGCUGAAGCAAUUGGAUACCUAUAGGCAAAAAAAUAAAAAUAAAAAAAAAUUAGACCUCAAACGUUUAACAAAAAUUAACUCAAAAUAAAUAGUAUAUUUAAUAUAAAAUGUAAACUACAAAACUUACAAAAUAACAUUGGAGAAAAUUUUCAGGACCUAGGACUUGGUGAAGAAAAUGUAGAUGUGACACCAAAAGCACAAUCCAUACGAGUAAAAAAUCAAUAAAUUGGAUCUACUUUUGCUCUGUGAAAGAUCCUGUUUAAGAGAAUGAAAAGACAAGCUAUAGAGUGGGAGAAAAUAUUUGCAAAUAUCAGUGAGAUUUCUUAAAAUUGAACAGUUAAAAACAAAUAACCCAAUUAGAAAAUGGGCCUUCCCCACCCCCAAAAAACCCAUGAAGAGACAUUUCAGACAUGUAAGCAAAUGAAAAAAUGUUCAAAGUCACUAGCUAUUAGGGAAAUGCAAAUAAAGACCAUGAGGAGACAUCACUACAUACCUUUCAACAUGCUGACAUAAAAAAAACGGUGACAACACCAGAUGCUAGCAAGGAUACAGAGAAACUUGAUGUCUCAUACAUUGCCAGUGGGAAUACAAAAUGGUUAAGCCACUGUGGAAAACAGUUUGGCUGUUUCUUAAAGUAAUUAAACAUAUGCUUACCAUACAACCCAGAAAUUGUACUCCAGGGCAUUUAUCCCAGAGAAAUGAAACAUUAUUGUAGCAGUUUUUUGUUGUUGUUGUUAUAGCCAAAACCUGGAAUACAGCAAUAAAAAGGAAUAAACUAUUAAUACACACCAUGAUUUGGAUGGAUUUCAAAGUCAUUACAAUAAGUGAAAAAAAAUCUCAGAGGACACAUUUAUAUGUGAGCUCAUUUAUACAACAUUCUUGAAAUGAUAAAAUUACAGAGACAGGAAAAAAAAAUUAUGUUUCCCAUGAGUUAGGGAUGGUAUAGGCGAGGAAAUUGAGUGCAGCUAUAAAGGGGUAAUUUGAGGGAGAUCUUUGUGGUAAAGGAAUAGUUCUGUAUCUUGAUUGUACUGAUGAUAUAGACUGAUGAAUCUACACAUAUGAUAAAAUGACAUGGAAUCAUAUAUACUCAUUGUCUAAUUUCUGUCUUUGAUGCUGUAUUAUAGUUAUAUAAGAUGUAUCCAUUGAUGGAAACUGAGAGAAGAGUACGUGGGUUGUCUCUGUGCUACUUUUGCAACUUCCUGUGAAUCUACAAUUAUUUUAAAAUAAAAUUUUUCUUUUUUUAUUAUACUUUAAGUUCUAGGGUACAUG
This 12314-nucleotide long non-coding RNA is filed under the name Homo sapiens (human). RNAcentral's name for it is "non-protein coding SCHLAP1:11". The record is from RNAcentral. Lineage: Eukaryota; Metazoa; Chordata; Mammalia; Primates; Hominidae.